GCAAUGGACGAAAGUCAGACGCAGCGACGCCGCGUGGGCGAUGAAGGCCUUCGGGUUGUAAAGCCCUUUUAUGGGGGAAGAGAAAAAGGACGGUACCCCAGGAAUAAGUCCCGGCUAACUACGUGCCAGCAGCCGCGGUAAAACGUAGGGGACAAGCGUUAUCCGGAUUCACUGGGCGUAAAGAGCGUUGAGGCGGUUCCGUAAGUUGGGCGUGAAAGCUCCGGGCUUAACUCGGAGAUGUCGUUCAAUACUGCGGGGCUUGAGGACAGCAGAGGAAGGUGGAAUUCCCGGUGUAGUGGUGAAAUGCGUAGAUAUCGGGAGGAACACCCGUGGCGAAGGCGGCCUUCUGGGCUGUUCCUGACGCUGAAGGCGAAAGCUAGGGGAGCGAACGGGAUUAGAUACCCCGGUAGUCCUAGCUGUAAACGAUGGAUGCUGGGUGUGGGGGGUGUAAAUUCCCUCUGUGCCGAAGCAAACGCGUUAAGCAUCCCGCCUGGGGACUACGGCCGCAAGGCUAAAACUCAAACGAAUUGACGGGGGCCCGCACAAGCAGCGGAGCGUGUGGUUUAAUUCGAUGCUACACGAAGAACCUUACCUGGGUUUGACAUGCACGUGGUAGGGAACCGAAAGGGGACCGACCUUCGGGAGCGUGCACAGGUGCUGCAUGGCUGUCGUCAGCUCGUGCCGUGAGGUGUCGGGUUAAGUCCCGUAACGAGCGCAACCCUUGCCCUUAGUUACAAGUGUCUAAGGGGACUGCCCGGGACAACUGGGAGGAAGGUGGGGAUGACGUCAAGUCAGCAUGGCCUUUAUAUCCAGGGCUACACACGCGCUACAAUGGCCGGUACAAUAGGUUGCGAAGUCGUGAGGCGGAGCCAAUCCUCAAAGCCGGUCUCAGUUCGAAUUGCAGUCUGCAACUCGAC
RNAcentral lists this ribosomal RNA (917 nucleotides) under uncultured Chloroflexota bacterium. RNAcentral describes it as "bacterial SSU rRNA". It matches the Rfam family "Bacterial small subunit ribosomal RNA", at positions 368 to 1316 of the family's 1533-position model. Lineage: Bacteria; Bacillati; Chloroflexota. The record is from RNAcentral.